This 284-nucleotide transfer RNA is filed under the name Azoarcus olearius. Its description in RNAcentral is "RNA (284-MER) from Azoarcus olearius (PDB 9V7N, chain B)". The record is from RNAcentral. Lineage: Bacteria; Pseudomonadati; Pseudomonadota; Betaproteobacteria; Rhodocyclales; Zoogloeaceae.
GGGCCUCUAGCUCAUGCUUGGUUAGAGCAGCGGACUCAUAUUUCGAUGUGCCUUGCGCCGGGAAACCACGCAAGGGAUGGUGUCAAAUUCGGCGAAACCUAAGCGCCCGCCCGGGCGUAUGGCAACGCCGAGCCAAGCUUCGGCGCCUGCGCCGAUGAAGGUGUAGAGACUAGACGGCACCCACCUAAGGCAAACGCUAUGGUGAAGGCAUAGUCCAGGGAGUGGCGAAAGUCACACAAACCGGAAUCCGUUGGUGCUGGGUUCGACUCCCAGGGGGCCCACCA